Molecule: long non-coding RNA, 1543 nt
Organism: Podarcis raffonei (Aeolian wall lizard)
Lineage: Eukaryota; Metazoa; Chordata; Lepidosauria; Squamata; Lacertidae
Exons: 3
Source: RefSeq, a predicted model, not a curated record
UUACACAAGGGGAACUGUAAGGCCAGACUGACCCUGAAGUCUUAUGCCAAUAUUUCUGUCACAUCAAAGCACAUAAAUCAGCCAUUCUCUCUAUUCCUAGUCCUUAUCUUGCAUUCUUCAAAUGCCACUUGAUGGCCUGGCUGGCUCUAUCAAAGCUGAUGCUGUUGAAAACAAAUGCAUGGUUGGCAAGCUGAAGGACACAGCGGGAGAUUGUCUGCCAGAACUGAAUCCAGUUCAUAAAGGAAUAUCUCCUCUGCCAAAAUGGGUCAAGGACUCCCCAACUGACGCUUCACAGGCAGCUGCUCAGUGGUGAUCAUAGCUUUGGAAUGUUUAGCAAGGAUGGAGAAAAUUUUCAGUCUUGCAGCUCAACAGGAAAGGUACGCCUCAGUGUCUCAGAGAGCGGACCUGUGACCCGACACCCAAUUCUGGAUACAGGGCGAAGAUGUGAACAUUUCCAUUUUCUUUUUGAUUUUGUAAUACUUUGUUUAAAUCAUUAAAACAGCAAAAUCUUAGAUUCUAACAAACAAGCCACAAUAAAGUAAAUAAAGACAGCUGUUUACAAAUACUAAUAGGAUUACAACAAAUUGAAGGUGGCCUAAGGCUGAGCAUCAUCAUGAAACUUGUUAUUCCAAUGCAGUGAAAGAAUGUACAUUUUUCCUUCAACUUCUUAGGUUGAUUUAUGUGUCCUCUGUUUUAUUAACUUAAUUAACAUUUCUGUUUUUAUCAGAAUUCUCUGAUACCUCUAAUCUUCAUUAAGCUAUCCACUGUUGCCCUAAAGUGAAACUGUUGGAAGGUUACACCGCCUGCCAUGGCCUUAGAGACUGAUAAGGGAGAUACAUGUACUGCUGCAUCUGGGGCAGAUGAAGGCAUCCCGUUGUCCUGCUGCAGAUGCACCAAGGCAUUUCUUCUCUCUGCACUCCUCCCAGCAGUCAUUCCUCCUCUGGUCACUGUUAUGAAUGCACAACCUGUCUCCAGGCAUUACAAUAAUCUGCAAGGGAUUCCCACAUGGCAGGGUUGAUGAUGUCAGCCUCCAUGUCACAUUUACAGACAUCUUUGUUGUGCAGAGUUGGUCUGCAAGCAGGCCUGGUGCCCGAAGCCUUUUCCCUGUUGAGCACAUCCUUGGGGAUCCUGCCAUCUUCCAUUCUGUGGAUAUGACCAAGCCAGAGUAGAUGUUGCUGAGACAAGAGUGCAAACAUGCUGGGAUUAUGUGCUUGGGAGAACACAAAUUUGUCUGACACUCUGUCCUGCCAUUUGAUGCCCAAAUCUUCCUAAUGCAGCGAAUGUGGAAGGCACUGAGGCGUCACACCCGGCGCUUGUAAGUUGCCACAACUCACUUCCAUCAAGCAGCAUGCUCAAUACACAAGACUGGUAGAUCUUCAUCUUGGUAUUGGACAUUAGCAUCACAUUCUCCCAUAUCCUUUUGGGAAGCAUCAUUUGCAUAUUGCAUAACUUUGCACUUUGCAAUUUGCAUAACUCACAUAUUAACUUAGGUGAGUUAAGGCCACAAGGUAGCUUCUUAGAGAAGGCCACUGAGGCACUGGAA